Molecule: non-coding RNA, 835 nt
Organism: Paramisgurnus dabryanus
Lineage: Eukaryota; Metazoa; Chordata; Actinopteri; Cypriniformes; Cobitidae
Source: RefSeq, a predicted model, not a curated record
GAUUUUUGCUAUCCAAUAAGACCUUAUCUCACUGUGUGACAAGGAUUGUUUAAACUUCAGCAGUAGACUGUCGAUGAAGACACCUAUUGCAUCUGAGGCUGCGACAUCCGUCAUCAGCAUGCGCUAGUGGUAAACAAAUACAGGUAUGCAGGUCGUAGAAGCAAACACGUUGUUGAUGUGCGUUGAUCAUGCUGAACUUCUUACACUGUCAUAAAACUAUCGUAGGACCACCAAUUAAGAGCCACGAUCACAGAAAUCUCCACAAUUGUUUCACGAUUGGUAAUCUUUCAUCUGGGACAGCCAAAAAUCGUGCCGUGUGUUAUGGGCUUUAGACAGGUGUAGUCUUAUAGUAUAUCAAAACCAUUGCUAAUAAUUAAUUGGACAAACCAUCACUACAAUGCAACACUCACUAUCUUACGGUGCGACCCACAAGUGGGUCUUCACCCACAGUUUAAAAACCCUGAGUAUGAGAAAGAGUAUGUUGUAUUGUAAUUAAAGUCACAUCUAAGUGUUAUGGAGCAGUUUGUCAUUAUAUUCACCGUAUUACAUGGUUCUUUCAGCAGUUACUACGUUACAGUGCUCUUAAAGUGUCCUGGUCAGCUUUGGGUCUUGUGAAGUAAUCUAAUGAAAAUGUGAUCAAUAGCUUUGCAGUAUUUUUGUUACACUGUGGCUGUAAUCAUAUUAACACAUAGGUUAAACAUUUUAUUCAAAAUUUGGUAAACAAACUAGUCAAUAUAAUUCAUGCUGUGAUGCUGGAUUAAACCUGGUCAAAUGAAUGUGUAUUGUGUUUUCAAUUUUUUUAUGAGGUUUCUUCAUAUAAACAUUCUCAAUAUCA